RNAcentral lists this ribosomal RNA (399 nucleotides) under uncultured bacterium. Its description in RNAcentral is "bacterial SSU rRNA". It matches the Rfam family "Bacterial small subunit ribosomal RNA", at positions 355 to 751 of the family's 1533-position model. The record is from RNAcentral.
UGAGGAAUAUUGGUCAAUGGGCGCAAGCCUGAACCAGCCAUCCCGCGUGAAGGAAGAAUGCGCUAUGCGUUGUAAACUUCUUUUCCAGGGGAAUAAAAUUCUGUACGUGUACGGGAUUGAAGGUACCCUGGGAAUAAGCAUCGGCUAACUCCGUGCCAGCAGCCGCGGUAAUACGGAGGAUGCGAGCGUUAUCCGGAUUUAUUGGGUUUAAAGGGUGCGUAGGCGGAUUAAUAAGUCAGUGGUGAAAACCUUCAGCUUAACUGGAGACUUGCCAUUGAUACUGUUAGUCUUGAGUGUGGUUAAGGUAGGCGGAAUGUGUAAUGUAGCGGUGAAAUGCUUAGAUAUUACACAGAACACCGAUUGCGAAGGCAGCUUACUGAGCCAUAACUGACGCUGAUG